UUCUAAGGAGCUUAUCAAAAGAUUGGAGGCAUUGUAAUAGCUAUUACUGAAGCAAAGAAUCUCUCUCAACUCAAAUUAGAAGACUUGAUUGGAUCUCUGAAAGCUCAUGAAACAAUUAUUCAAGAAGAUAAACCUACAUAGAAAAAGAUGAUUGCUCUAGAGUCACAAGUGAUGGAACACUCUCAGAACAAUCUGACUACAGAUAAUGACAGUUUACUUCAAGAAGAUGAUGAGGAAGAAUUUGCACUCAUCUCAAAAAGAAUUCAAAGAUUAAUGGUGAGAAAAAAUCAGAUAAGGAAC
Molecule: long non-coding RNA, 300 nt
Filed under: Trifolium pratense (red clover)
Lineage: Eukaryota; Viridiplantae; Streptophyta; Magnoliopsida; Fabales; Fabaceae
Description: long non-coding RNA (TPRA_LNC012446)
Source: RNAcentral